This 473-nucleotide ribosomal RNA is filed under the name uncultured soil bacterium. RNAcentral describes it as "bacterial SSU rRNA". It matches the Rfam family "Bacterial small subunit ribosomal RNA", at positions 26 to 518 of the family's 1533-position model. The record is from RNAcentral.
AGAAUCAACGCUGGCGGCGUGCCUCAGACAUGCAAGUCGAACGAUUAAAGCUCCCUUCGGGGAGUGCAUAGAGUGGCGCACGGGUGAGUAACACGUAAGUAAUCUACCCUCGGGUGGGGAAUAACAUCGGGAAACCGAUGCUAAUACCGCAUAAUGCAGCGGCACCGCAAGGUGACAGUUGUUAAAGAUUUAUUGCCUGGGGAGGAGCUUGCGGCAGAUUAGCUUGUUGGUAAGGUAACGGCUUACCAAGGCUACGAUCUGUAUCCGGUCUAAGAGGACGGUCGGACACACUGACACUGAAUAACGGGUCAGACUCCUACGGGAGGCAGCAGUCGGGAAUUUGGGCAAUGGGGGAACCUGACCCAGCAACGCCGCGUGAAGGAUGAAGUAUUUCGGUAUGUAAACUUCGAAAGAAUAAGGAAGAAUUAAUGACGUACUAUUUAUAAGUCCGCUAACUACGUGCCAGCAGCCGC